ACUGCGGAGAUCAUUACCGAGUGAGGGCCCUCUGGGUCCAACCUCCCACCCGUGUCUAUCGUACCUUGUUGCUUCGGCGGGCCCGCCGUUUCGACGGCCGCCGGGGAGGCCCUGCGCCCCCGGGCCCGCGCCCGCCGAAGACCCCAACAUGAACGCUGUUCUGAAAGUAUGCAGUCUGAGUUGAUUAUCGUAAUCAGUUAAAACUUUCAACAACGGAUCUCUUGGUUCCGGCAUCGAUGAAGAACGCAACCAAAUGCGAUAAGUAAUGUGAAUUGCAUAAUUCAGUGAAUCAUCGAGUCUUUGAACGCACAUUGCGCCCCCUGGUAUUCCGGGGGGCAUGCCUGUCCUAGCGUCAUUGCUGCCCUCAAGCACGGCUUGUGUGUUGGGCCCCCGUCCCCCUCUCCCGGGGGACGGGCCCGAAAGGCGUCGGCGGCACCGCGUCCGGUCCUCAAGCGUAUGGGGCUUUGUCACCUGCUCUGUAGGCCCCGCCGGCUCCAGCCUACACCCAACUUUAUUUUUCUAAAGUUGACCUCGGAUCACGUAGGGAUA
RNAcentral lists this ribosomal RNA (549 nucleotides) under Aspergillus fumigatus. RNAcentral describes it as "eukaryotic LSU rRNA". The stretch from base 202 to 355 matches the Rfam family "5.8S ribosomal RNA". The record is from RNAcentral. Lineage: Eukaryota; Fungi; Ascomycota; Eurotiomycetes; Eurotiales; Aspergillaceae.